GACCAAGCUUGUCCUGGGUGUGGAAAAUUAUUCUCCUUCCCCUUGAACUGUGCACAUUUCUCAGCUGAAAGAGAAUAUAACGAGGGUGGGUGUGCUGGUAGGAUGUACCCCAUCUAUCACCAGUGGAUGUGCUGGUGGAAUGUGCCCCACAUAUCACCAGUAGACAGGUUUGCUUAAGGAUGCAAACUGUAGAAGGCAGUUCUAAGUCCAAACAAAAUGGCGGUCUAUAAAAAUGAGAUUUGCUCAACCCAAAGGCCUUUCUUUCAACAACCUGGUGUGGUCAGGGAUGAAGCCAGACUGCUCGUGGAGAGUGACUGGAUUAGGGAGUUAACGAUGUAUCAUCCCCAUCCAAUCUACAGUACCCAUCACCCCUCUCCUGGCAGAACAAACGACACACGAGAGGAGACAUUCUUUGCGCUCUGUUGGGCACUGCUAAUGUAUUUCUUGAACUCUUUGACCACCCAACACUAAUCACAUUUACUUGUAGCAGAUGCCAGUGGACUCUGAGAGAUCUUGCUCACACUCUUUAAAGAGGUUUCAUUGUGCACCUUUGAGUCUCUUACAGAAAAAAUAAUCUUGAAGAACAGUAAAAAUCAUCAUUGGAGAAUUAAAUGCUGAAGGCACCUUUGUUGAAAAAAAAAAGAUCAAGACCCCCGGGAGCCCAGAUCUUUGUUUAUGCGAUUCCUCCUGGCCAUCCACCCAGGCCAUCAAGAGACAACCGCCUCUCGCUCCCCAUUUGGUUGCAGCUACAGCAGUGGUUGAGUUUGGUGCAACCAGCUCAUGGGUAUUGUUGUAAGCACCUUGGUCAUACUACAUCGUCAUUGGACUCCCUCAAUCUACGGACAAGACUUCCACAUGACAGCGGGGAAACUGAGGCACAGCAAGGUCAAACAACUUCAAGGUUAUACAGCAGGAAUAGCACGGUGCCAAGAAUCUCCAUGGGCAGGAAGUAAGGCGAUCGAGGAGCUCAUUCUCAUAGUUACUCCAGUCACAACUUUGUCUCUCUAUCCCAACAGCCACAGGCUUUGGUGUUGGGCUGAGACAUUCUAAGGACCGGGCUAUACAAACGCUAAACUGAAUAUGUGUCCUUCCUCUGAAGAUAUCUGAGCAGACCCAUCCAUCUUUGCAUCGCCAAGAUGAGCUUCGUGCUUGAUGGCAUAAGCGGCUCUCUCUCAGUCACCCACCUCAGAGGCGAGAUGAAGACAUGGUAUCGUGUGUGCGGUGUGGCUGUCUGCCUACCUUGGUGACAGUGGAGACGAAGGAUAAUGUUCAGGGGCAACGCAACUGAGAAUGAGGGAUCCUGAUGGCAACAGACUGUGUACCCACUCUUUUCCAAAGUACACACGUACUUAGAAAAGCAUCAGACCCAAACCGAGAGGAGUCUAGAGUUUUCAUUCCAUCACCGAGAUCACCCCAAUAAUAACCGCACCAUGCUUAUGAAGGCCGGUUACCAUCCUGUUCGGUUGUGCAUCCAAUUAGCAUUUCCAUAAUUUAAACCACAAAGCUGUCAUUCUCUAUUAGCUGGGUGGGAGCUGGAACACAUCUUGGAUCUGCCAGCCUCAUUGUCCUCAGUGAUUAAACAGAUUCUAUUUUUUCCAAGUAUUACCCUUUCCAAUAAGGUCUUAGCCAUUCCUUUCGAGCUGCUCGUUUAUCUUGGUAGAAUGACAUAAGGAAAAAAAAAUGAAACCUUAAGCAUUCCUUUAGGAGCACAGCCCCAUCCAUUUAUGCAUGAACAGGGAUGACGGGAAUCAAGUCAGGGAGGCCUUCGCCUACAGAUAUUAAUAGAACAGUGGAGAGGAGUUAAUCUUCUAUUAGAUUACAGUGGAUAGGGAAACUGCCAUCCAAUUGGUAGCAGCUUUCUCUAAUGCUAAUCAUCCGUGCAGUGGGGAAAAGGCUUAAAUACACAUUAGAAAGGUCUGCAGCCUUUAAUGCCAUUAUAAAUGCUGUCUUCACAGGGGGUAGCUAUUAACUUGUAGUGCUGUGAGUAGAGAGGCACAGCUCCAACGGGUGACAGAAAAAAAAAAUCUAAAUAUGUCUGUCCACAAAGAAAGCUGAGUGUUUACUAGCUCUGAGGGGAAAGCGCUAGUGAUGACAGGGAGAGAUGAGAGGACCUUAGCUGGGUGCUGAAGAGGACCAUACAUGAGGAACAGAAGGAUGUUGUGUGUGUCCGAGGAGGACACCCAUCUCCUGUGGGGCAUACUGCUCAGGGAGCCCAACACGGACAGAGUCAGGAGGAAAUGGCAGACAAAGAACAUUUUGAUGAGUUUUAAAAGACUGAGCUCUGAAUGAGAUUUUCUAAAUGUAUUUUGAAGAUAAGAUUUUAGAAUUGUCAAUGGUACAAAAGGCAACAAGGUGCUAAAACGUGUUGUGGGUCAAGGAUUCAGGUCAGCCAGGGGAAUUCUGUGACCAGGAGGGGAACGUGCUGUGAGGUGCAUUCUCUUUGAUAAAAUUAGAACAGGGAGAGUGGAUCAGGCGAAAGCCCCCUUGACAAAGUUGGAUCUGGCCACACUGCUAAGUCGCUGUGUUUACCCGACAGAAUGACUGCUUAUGAAAUGAAUAUCCAAAGUAUCUGAAGGCAAAAGGCAUGGGACAUGGAAUUCAUUCUCCAAUGGUUUAGAAAUAAUUAGAUGUUAACACACCACAAAUAUCAGUGUGGGCAGGGUAAAUACUGCGUGAUUCUACCUACAUGAGGUGUUUAAAAUAACCAAGACUCGUCGACCUGGAGAGAUGGGGGAGGGGAUUUGGGUGGUAUGUAAUUUAUACUUUAAUGAAGUUGUGUAUAAAGUUAACAUGAACAGGUUCGGGAGGAAAACUCAAUGGAUGUCUGCAGGUUACUGUGGGACGGUGGCUGAACAUCUAUCUGUCAGCUGCUGCUUUGAAAUGAGAGAGGUGCGGCCUAUUUGUGGCACAUGUGGGAUAGAGAUGAACCCGACACUGCCUUAAUGUUUUUUAUAAACUCGGCAUUUUUCUGACAGUCACGGGCAGACAAUAAUGGUUGAAUGUCCCCAUUUCUCAGAUUUGGGCUCAAAAGUCAGGGUGCGAGGCCACGCUCAUGUGGCUACAAAGAGUCAAAUCUCAUGCUGUGAGACCUUCUGGAAGUGAGACCUUCCACAUGGCUUUGUUGGGUUAGGUAACAUGAAGCUGGCAAAAAAGCCCCAAGUCAGUUAUGGUUAUAAGGUUACAAACUACACAGACAGGAAAACAAGGUUCCAAUUUUCUGCUUAGGCAGGAAGAAAGCUGUGGCCGCACUGUCACGGAGCCAUUCUUUUUCAUUCUGUCAUAUAAAAGCACAACAAAACAAUAAGUUAAAAUAGAAUAGAUUUGCAAUAGCAUACGAUAGCAGGAAGUUUUCCAAGGUGAAAUGCCACGCGAUUUCAAGGGAUCUUCAACAAUGCACACUGGGUCAGUCAUUUAACGGUGAUCAUUUUAAAGGGAGGUGCAUGUUUUAUAGCGAAGACAGGCUUUCACACUCAGAUUGCGUGUUAAGAAUAAGCAGGGGGCAAAUAUCCGCUUCCUUUGGUUUCUCGACUUUAGGACAUGUAGAAGCUACUUUUAGGGGGCAUAGAUUUGACAUGUGACUCAGUUUUGCAUAUUUGUCACCCACCGUGAAAUGCUUAGGGAGGCACCAGAAAAAUAUUGUUUAUGGAAGUCUUCCAUCAGAUUCUGUCCACGGGAUGUGUCGCCGUUAUGAAACACUCCCUCACAGAGGUCCGAAACCUGCCCACUUGCCUCUUCUGAACAGAUGGCUGUUCCCUGCAGGAACCCUGACUGGCAGUGCUGAUAUACGACAGAGGGUAUCACAUGAAAAUAAAGUGGAAGGGGGUCUAUUUGGGAAGGGUUUGGAAGAGGAAGGGGACAAGGGAUGGUCAUGGGUGAUAAGGAGGCGAAUAUAAUAAAAACACAUUAUGUACGUGCAAGAAAAUGUUACGAUAGAACUGCCAUAUAGAUAUAGCUAAUAUAGCCUGAUGAAAAUGUUUAGAACUGUGGUUAUUAUUAUAAUCUGUGAGAUGUGAUUUGGAGAUGACAAUUCAAAAUUAUACACGAACACAUAGAGUGACUAUCCUAGCUCCCUGGGCUACCACUACUGCCCUUGAAGAAUAUCUGUAUAAACUCGGAAGUCAGUGUUGUGUAAAAUCCCCCUGAGUACAGUUUUACUCUGAAAUACUCUUAGUUCUGACUAUAGUUCCUGGACCAUUUCAGCAAAACUCACCAAGAGACAGCUGAACCAGGCAGGGAAGAUGAGGUUCGUGGCAGACUUGGGAGGUCCCCCAAGAAUGGAAAUGAGGGGUGUUUGAGGCCUGCUAUGACUCACACUUGAAAGCCAUCACGGUGAUGGCUUACACUGGAUACCCAAAGAUCCUGGAGGGGAGAGCUACAUUAAGAUUGGAGUGUAAUACUAAACAUAGACCGGAAAAUUUAGGGUUUUUUAAAAAGAUUUAUUUAUUUAUUAUAUGUAAGUACACUGCAGCUGUCUUCAGACACACCAGAAGAGGGCACCAGAUCCCAUUACAGAUGGUUGUGAGCCACCAUGUGGUUGCUGGGAUUUGAACUCAGGACCUCUGGAAGAGCAGUCGUGCUCUUAACCACCGAGCCAUCUCUCCAGCCCAGAAACUUUAGGUUUUUUUUUUUUUUUUUUGGUUCUUUUUUUCGGAGCUGGGGAUCGAACCCAGGGCCUUGCGCUUCCUAGGUAAGCGCUCUACCACUGAGCUAAAUCCCCAGCCCCAAACUUUAGGUUUUUAACUAGUGGUUUUGGAACUGUGUCUCCAGGCCUCUAAGGACAUGAAAGUUCAGUGCGCAGUGUAUGCACAGGCCUAUUCUCCUGGUCCCACCAACAUGUAUCUCACUUUGGGUUUUAGAGGGAGAAGCAGGAUGAUGCCUGAAAUCACACAUUAGAGCCUCAGACAGUGCAAGUGGCAAGUUCUCGAGUGAGGUCCUCCCAGGUAACAUCUAGGCCCCUUUGGACCAUCUCUCUCCGUUCUCAGCAUCUCACAGCUGAGAAUACAGAGACUGGAGGUGCGGCGGCGUUCUGGGGCCGCCUGUCACAUCCUGUGGAGGCAGAGCAGAGCCAGGUUCUCCUACCUCGGGGAUGGCUGGACUCUCAGGCUACUUUCUAAGUUGGCCUUCCUGCUCCAUGGAAAUAAAGACACCAAAGGACCCCAUGGGAGAAGGGACAAGGCUUCCUGGCCAGCAUGCGUUCCUGCAAGGCUCUGGACGUCAGGCCUGCAACAUCACAGUGAGACUGAUGAAAGCUGCCUGGGCUUGCCGAGACUGUGAAAUUAAUACUCCAUUGUCUUCUUUCCUGAUUUCCUUCCAACCGGCAUGCUCCUCUCCUCAAUAUGCAUUGUUAGGAAUCCCCUGAAGUAAUUAUUAACGCGCGUGACAGCCGGUGCUUGUAAACCAUCUUACAAAUACAAAGGCAGGUUCUGUAAAUGUUUAUUCUCAUUAGCGAGGCUAAUUAGACCAAUGGCUCAAUGCAAUAUUCCCACACAAAGGUUUCUGGGUGAUGCUCACUGUGCAUGACAGGAAAUGUCAUGGAAACAGCAUCGAGCGCUGCUCCUGAACCCCGGACGCCUGGGAGGUGAGCUGAGGAAAAGCAUUUCUGCUUUCCCAAAUGGAGACGAGAGAAAGGACCAGUUGGGAGUCCUGCCCUGUGUGGAGCCAUUUUUCUCAAGUCUCUGCUUUGUGGACUGCAUGCUGCAAUGCCAUAAAGUGCUUCCGCGUUCUUCAGGUCCUGAGAAUACAUCUUAAAAGAUGGAUGGCUCUCAGAGGUGAGGGGCCUUGCUUGGGGUCAGAACAGAUUAUACAGGCUUGCUGGCCAUGUGCCUUGCAUCAAAGGGACAAAAGAGGGACAUUCUUCUAAUGCUGCUCUUUAAGACUCCUACAUACUUAGAGAAAAACAGCUCCCGAAACGCCGAUGUCUCCAACACGACAGUUUUGAUUGACAGUACUGCAGGCUAUAAUAAUUGUAACAUAGUUUCUUUCUCCAUUCUCGGGCUCGCAUCUAGGGAUCCUGAACUUGGGUGGGCUGUCCUUCCCAGGGUGAGCUGCCUAGACAGCAAACGUGACUGUGAACACAGACUUGGCACCUGAAUGACUCAAUCCUUAGUUUAUACUCUAUACCCAGCCCCUUUUCCAGCAUGUGUAGUAUGGGACACUAUUCCUCAGCCCCUAAUUACCCAAUUUCCAAACCCCUUUUGGAGUAAUUACUCCAAAGCCAGUAGCACAGACCAUCUUUACUGCUUAGAGCACACAGAUGUGUUCAUAAUUCCUGUCUCCCAGAUUUAUAGCUUCCCCAAUUCCUUCCUAUAAAAGCCUGAAUAAAAACUCUCACACGCACUUUCUCCUGAUCAACCCUGGUGCUUCCCAAGUGGCCUGUGGUACCUCCUGCUUCUAGAGCUCGGUAUGAUCUCAUUCCUUCGUGACAGGCAUUUCCUUAUUGUGUCUCGUGAACCACACAAAAUUAAAACAUGUCAGGCACAGGACUAAGGGUGUGAUGGUGAUUCUUCUGGACACAUCCCAACUUCCUUCCUUCCUUCUUUGCAAACUCCACUGCACCAGGCCUGGCUAUAUGUUAACAGGCAAUCCCAUCAACUACACUGCAAGUAGGCCUGAGAUUUUACACUGUUUUAUUAACUUAGAUAUUUAUUAUAUAUUAUUAAAUUAUAUAGACUCAGGAUCGGCUAGUUCAGGUACUAAGGGUUUGCCCACAGGCAAACUUACUAUUUAGGAACCAGCUUGUCUUAGAGUUUCCAUUCCUGCAUAAAACAUCAUGACCAAGAAAGAAGCAAGUUGGGGGAGGAAAGGGUUUACACAGCUUACACUUCCACAUUGCUGUCCAUCACCAACGGAAGUCAGGACUGGAACUCAAGCAGAUCAGGAAGCGGGAGCUGAUGCAGAGGCCAUGGAGGGAUGUUACUGACUGGCUUGCUUCCCCCUGCCUUGCUCAGCUUGCUCUCUUAGAACCCAAGACCACCAGCCUGGGGAUGGCACCACCCACAAUGGGCUGGGGCUUCCCCUCUUGAUCACUACUUGAGAAGAUGCCUUAGAGCUGGGUCUCAAGGAGGCAUUUCCAGAACUGAGGCUCCUUUCUAUGUGAUAACUCCAGCUUGUGUCAAGUUGACACACAAAACCAGCCAGUACAUAGCUUAGCACUGGGAAGGGCAAAUCCUACAUGCUUCUCAAAAUCACACACACACACACACACACACACACACACACACACACACACACACAUUUAAUAAAUGUGGGGUGGGAGGGUAACAUGUAUGAAGAAGGUCAAAGAACAACCUUGGGUGUCAUCCUCAAAAACACUGCCUAUGUCUCCUGAAACGGAGUCUCUCUUUGGCCUGGAGCUCACUAAGUAGGAUAGACUAGUUGGCCAAUGACUCUCAGGGCUCCUCUGCCUCCACCUCUCCAGCGAUUAAUGUCAGGCGCCUGCCCCUCCCCCUGGCCUUUUUUUGUGGAUCCUGGAGCUCAGACACAGGUUUCCGUGCUUGUGAUGUGUGCCCUUGACAAACGGAGUGACCUGACCAGUCCAUUAUUAACUGUUGAGGAUUUCAAUGGCUUUAUAAAGGAUCCCAUGAGCUAAUGGACAAGUGCAGACCAGGGAGGUGGGUUGCUCCUGACCGAGCCCUUAUAAACUCCAUCACGGUCUCUGCCUUCCCGAGUUAUAAACUCCAUCACGGUCUCUGCCUUCCCGAGGUAUAAACUCCAUCACGGUCUCUGCCUCUCCGCGUUGGAGGCGAGAGCGAGUAUUUCUGUCUCUUCUCACUGGGACAUCAUACCUUCUUAGAGUUGCUGCUGCCAUGUGGCAGGAGGACUUUUAAUAAAGCCUGCUAACGGAAUAUGAUAAUCACAUAUGUAAUUAGGGAAGAUGGAGAACAGAUGUGUAAUGAGGAUGGCCGUGGACAGGGGCAUCUCCAGAAAGGCACGAAUUGGACUUAAGUGGUGUGUUGGCCUGCCUCUCCCAAACGAGAGCUGCCUUCAGUUUCAUAUACUGUGCUCUCAUCCUGGGCAAGGAGGAAGAGUGGCCCUAGGUAAGGUGUGAGCAAAGGCAGAGAAAUGCUCUGUGAGCCACUAUGGCCUCAGGGUUUGGCACAACGCCUUCUAAAACCCCCAAACAAACACCCUAAAACCCAAAACAGCAACAACAAAGACAACAACAACAAAGACAGCCACAACAGCCAAAACCCAACCCCUUAAGCAGCACUUGGCUAACGUCAUGAACCAAGAGAGUAGGGGCAUCAUGUUCACAGGCUUCUGAUCUGGGGUGGUUAACACUGUCAGCCCGACGGCAUCCAGGAUCACCUCAGACAAGUCUCUGAGGACACCUUGGAGGGAUUAUCAAGAUUGGGUGAACCGAGGUGGGAAGAAUACCCCGACGGAGAACAGACUGCUUCCCAACUGGAUGUAGUGUGCCAGCUGCCUCAAGCUCCUGCCAUCUUGACUUCAUGUGACAGACUGUAGCCCUCCCUUCCUCAAGCUGGUUGGGUAUUUUAUCACAGCUACGGGACACUUCAGGACAAACUGUCCCAGAAGGAAAUGAUAUGCUCGACUCAAAACAAUUACCUCAGGCCUUGCCAAUACUGACAGCCAAAGGCUAUCCAAAGACACUCUGGUUGAGGGUGGAGGGCAGGGGUGCUGAGCUCUGGGAGGCACCGCAAUUAGCCUAAAAUCUCCACUAUACCUGAGAGCUUUUUUAUUUACCCCUAUUAUUUCUUGGGCACACUGGUUAGGGAUGAAACACUAACACCCUCAUGAGAAAUGUCCUUAUUCACACUACGCUUCUGAUUUUUCCAGUGGGGAUUCACAGGGACUAUCAUCCUCUUCUGUCAGCUCAAAACAGGGAGCGAGGUGUGCAGUUCUCUGGGAAAUGUAAACACAGAAAUGUGAGUGUCCUCACACACAUAAGAUAUCCAUUGUGAUUAUUCUUCAGGAAGCUUUAUAAGCACCAGAAUAACAAGGAACAGAAAGUUAUUUAAGUAGCAUUGCCAGGGAAUGGUGUCCACGCAGUGAAUGAGUAACUCCUGUGAAGAAAGCGGGAGGCCACAGCCAGCAUGAACCCUUGCCCCUCGGCAAGCCUGCUGCCCUCCGUUUGCAGUCUCAGCAGCCUUGCCAGGAGGCUGGGCCCUCCCUAGGCUAAAGCACUCCGGAUCCAGUGGACUGUGAACUCUGUGUUCUUGGGGUCUUUCUCGUGCGUCCACAUCAUCCACCUUCUUUGUAGAAUUCAUUAUAAAGAACCCACAGAGGGGCUGGAGAGAUGGCUCCGUAGUGACGGACACUGGCUACUCUUCCUGAGGACCCAGGUUUGUUUCCCAGCACUCAACGUGGUGGCUCACAACCAUCUGUGACUCCAGUUCAGAGGCCUCCAUGGGCUAUACAUGUACAUGGUGCACAGACAUACACGCAGGCAAAUCACCCAUAUUACAGAAAGAGAGAAGAGAGAGAGAGGAGAGAGAGGAGAGAGAGAGAGAGAGAGAGAGAGAGAGAGAGAGAGAGAGAGAGAGAAAUAAGAAUGAGAAUAUAAUUCAUAGAGGUGACCAACCAGUAGCUCUCACAAGCUUCCCAAUGGGAACACUGGUUCUGUUUCUCCCAGGGGAUUUUGACAAAGUCCCUGGAACUUAUGAAGGAAUUCUGCAGCGGGAACUGGGACCUUGGACUUUUCAUACAGUGAACCUAACUUAUACAUAGGAAUCACAUAUCGGCUAUAUUAUUUUUGCCUUGGAGAUGGCUAUUCUUGGUUGUCAACUUGAUUAUAUCUGGACUUAACUAAAAAUCCAGGCAGCUGGGUACACCUGGUGAGUGAUUUUUACUUAACUGGAUCACUUAAAGAAGUAGGAAGAUGCCUUGUAAAUCUGUCCCCCACACUCUGGUGGCCACCUGUGUAAAAGAGAUAGAAGGAAGAGACUUCCACUCUUUGCCCGCUCGUCCUCACUCUCAAUGGUAGGUCCAUUCCUGCGCUGGCAUUAGAGCCUACUUCUUUAGGAUUCUAGCACAUACUGGGCCAGCCAGCCUUGUGAACGACUACUGGAUUCUCGGACUUGCCAUCAGCAGGCAGCCAUUGCGGGAUUAGCUGGAUCCCAGCCUGUAAGCCAUUCUAAUAAAUCCUCGUUUCAUACAGAAUCCUUUCCUCAGUCUGUUCCUCUGGAGAGCACUGACCAAUGCUGCCCUUGGCAUCUCCACCACUUGCUGUUUUCUUCUCUACCUUCAUCCAAAUCCAUCUACAUUUAUUCUCUCACAAGUUCUGUCCCUCUCUUUAAACUACUAAAAUGAAAACCUCUGUCAAAUGAAAGGAAGCUGGCGGUCUAAUGUCGCUGGCAAACACGCUGGUGUCGGUCCAGCAUGAGCUCGUAUCCGACAUCUGUCUCAGUCACGGGGAAAUACGUCUGAGCCACGCACAUCUGUCCUGGCAACCACAGCAGGGACACAAAUGAAACACCCUAAAUUAAAUUCCAGCGAGCUGCAAGUCUAAUGAGCUUUAUUAGCAGAUGAGCACACAUUUAGAGAAAGCUGCUGCUGACCUGCUACUGUGACCCCCCUACGGUGAGGGAGAAGACCUGUGAAAUUAAGCCGAUAUGCAGACCUUCUGUCUGGAUCACAUACCGGGGGGAGCAGCCCUCCUGAGGAAGUGGGGGCAGCUGAUAGAUAUCUCUAGGGGAUGGACCGCCAUCUUGGGGGCUCACUCUUGCUACUCUCCCUCCCACUCAAAGAGGAGGCUGGCACUUAUGUUGGAUGCCCCCUGAGCCAUUGAGACGCAUGCAUUUGGAUCCUGUUGCCAUGUUCAACCCGAACACACCCUUCGGGUUGCUGCCUCUGGACUCUCAGCGUAAGUGGCCCUUAAUGGCUCUAAGUCACUGGCUGCCCUACCUCACCAGCUCUCGACACAUGGUUUGCCUUGGCUUUAACCACGUGCCUCCUCUAAACCUAUAAUAGCCCGUUCUUCUCUUAUGAGGACUGGAUAAACACAAGGCUCAUGAAAUGAAAACACCAGGUUAUUCCCUUUCGACUGUUUUCUUUUUUGGGGGAACCUAGCAACCUGGUAUUAAUAUCUUAGUAUUUAUAUACGUCCUGGUGUGAGCCCAUCUACUUGGUAUCUUACAUUCUGGAAACUCUCACACUCAGAAACACGAUUCCAUUAUGCACAAAUAUAAUUCCUCACGAGGGCUCUAAGCACCCUGCCUACUGGGGAUAAUUCCUAAUUAAAUAAUGCAAUGCUCAUUUUACAUUUAAUGAACUCGAGGAAGCAAGGGCUUUGGGGGUAGAUUCUCUGCCAUUUAAAUCCUGACCCAACUGCUCUGCCAGCUUUCAUUUUUUUCUUUAAUUACCACAGCUUAGUUUGUUUUUAAAAAGUACCUUUAGUAUUUCAACAUUCUCAGUGAAAUAUAAAACAAUAAGAGAAAAGCAAGAAAAAGAGGAAUUUCACUGACGUUUGAAACAAAGAUUAAAUGUGGACAAACACAUCAGGCAUUCUAUGAAGCGCAAGAACGAAGAGAUAACGAGAAUUUGGGGAAAGGGCCAAGUUGGACAAGAGUCCUUUUCAGUCUUUCGAUUCCAAGUUUUUCUAGAUCUUUUAUUUUUACUUCAGGAGACUCCACUGUACACAGUAUACUGGCCUCUGUUGACUGACUGGUGCUUUUACCCAGGGAGCCUUGGUGAACCCACCCCACGUGGCUUUAUUCUCAGCUGCAGAUUUAAUGCGCUGCCCGUAACGACUUUGUCCUAUGCAACAGAUGAGGCGAGGUGUAUGUGACCUGCCCAGCAGCCUGUGGGGACUCAAAUUCUCUACUGGGAGUGGAGGGAACCUGUAAGUAGUGACUGGGAUGUCCUGGAACUAAGGCUUAGCUAUUCAAGAGAAUGUUUUAGGGGCAAAUGAUAGCUCCCUUCUGCUCUUCUCCUGAAAAGGGGAGGAGGGGAACUUUCUAGAAUACUGAUGCUGACAUUGUGCACGGUGGCUCACAGAAAUCUUUCAGGAUAUCACUUCAUUUCAUGGGCGCUGCUUUCCAGGUUGACACAAGGGUUAUCUCCAUCUGUGUGUACAAGUAAGGAAACUCAGAGCCAAGUGGCUACCUAACUGUCCCAUGGGCCUUAUGACGGAACCUAGACGGGACACUGCUCAGGGCACACCCAACUGUAGCCGUGUUGUUCUCCUCCUGCCCUGACUGAUUCUGUGCACAGGCUCCAGGCCAUCAGACUCUAAGCUGUACUGAUGGUAUGACAAGCAAUAUUACAUUAGCUAAAUGGAAUCCUCUUCCUCUCCUCCCCCUCCACAUCUCCUGCCGCCGCCGCCGCCAAAGAAUCGGACAUAGCCUGGUUAGAGGCAGACUACAGUCUACUCAUCAACCCAAACUAGCUCGGUUGUGAGUCAGCCAUCUUCGUUAAGGGCAACGGGCCCACUGGCCAUGUCCAGGUCUUUGUAGUGACCAUUUAAUAGAUUAGAACAUUGAGCUGUAAUUAGUCUCUGUCAAUGAUAUUAGACGUUUACAAAAUAAGGCAAGUGAUAAAAAUAUAUCUCCCUGCUCCCUGGGAAUGAAGUUGAUCCUCUCCUUCCGCAGAUAAGAGAAUUAUCACUGGAGGGCAAUCUCCCACCUCCACAAUCUUUAUGGCGAUAUUUCAAUUAAACUGCCUGGAAAUAAUCAUAUUUGAAGGAAGUAGAGAAGACUUCUUGAGGUGAGUCAUCACGGGGACGAUGUCUACGACGUACAGCCAUUUUUGUGUCUUGCAAUCUUCCUUGGCUUCACUUUGCUAUUUUUUAAAAAGCAAAGUAAUGCAAUACAAAAAUGGCUCCAUUUUCUUUUUUUAAAAAAAUCAGGACAACCCUAUGAGACAUUGAAAGAAUUUUAGAGUAAUGUUUCCAUCCACACCAAACAGCUCUAAGGAACAUCUUUUUUUUUUUUGACAAUAAAGCUUUCUUCCUUAUGUCCAAUACUAUACUAUUUUUUAUACUCUUUGAAUAAAGAGGAGAAAUACAAAUGCUUAUUAUUCAACAAAGCAAUUCUGGUAAAUUAAAUUCGUUCAAUACACAUAAGGCAUAGAGGACCAAACACUUCCGUGGGUGGGAAGUUAAUAUUCAAACACAGUACAGCCGGGACCUUCUGCAUACUGCUCAGGUCUAUCUUUGGCAAAAGAUGGCAGAAUUCCAGCCUGCGGCUUCUCUCCCAGGGUGGGAAUCUGAUUUCCACAGCACCAGCUGUCAUUGGAAGUGGUUCUAAAAUUCACACAGACCGUCUUGUAGCUUUUCUCCUAGGAUCUGAGUUGACAGUUCCUGCUUCCAAUCUGAAGGAGACCAGAUAUUGCUAGCAAGAUUAGUCUUCGGUAACACAAAAACUCCUCUACUCAAAAUCCAGGCACGUUUGACUCCUGUAAGUAAUAGGAGGAGGAGGUGGACGCAGGUUGUACCUAGGAUGCUCAUGCUGUUGGGGUAGCUAGCGAAAUCAUUCAACCGCCAACUCAGGAGCUAAAAAUAAAGAGUCCUAAUUUAUUAGGUGCUUAAAAAUUGGCUCUGACUAAACACAGGAAGUUGGUGAGAUGAGUCCUUAAGAUCCAUUCCAACUCCAAGAGAAUGUGUACUGUGCUCAUCUUUGGCCUGAACUCUGCCUCUAAUCCAGUGCUGGCCGGUAUCCAACCUUGUUCAUUUAAUAGUCGACAUUUGUCAAGGGCUCCCCAUGUACUGAGCCCUGCGUUAGAGGACAGAUACAAAGAAGGCUUCUGCCUUUGAGGAAUGUGGAGAAGCAUUAGAUUCAAAGAGAGACGUCUGAAGGCAGGCACAAUCGACUGUGUCUCCAUGUGUGGGCCUCACUGUUGAAGCAAGCGGCAGGCUGGAUGCUCUGAUGGUGGAUAUGGUUUAUAUGUAAACUCUAUCAUGUGCUAACAUUUUCUGAGAGGUGCCCACUGGUAAACUGACUCCUCUCUGUGCCUUAGAAAAAGCAGCAGAGUACAAGGCUGAACUACAGAAGACGCUGCUUCCUUUUGUUCUUAAUAAACAAAACACCCAUCAGCAUGUGUGGCAUAUGAUAUUUUAAUCAAGGUGUCAAAGAUGCCAGGCAUUAUUUCUGGCUGUAGGAAGUGAAUCAGGCUAUUGAUAGCAGUUAGUAGGACAAGAAUUUGAGACAUAGAGUCAGGAUGUCACAUGGAGUCACUAGAAGUAAGGAAAAGCCAAGCACUGCCUAUCCCCAAGCUCAGAGCUCCUAUAAAACUUCUCUUGAUCAAAUUCACAGCAGAGGAGCUGCAGAAAAGAAUGAGGAGGCCUUGGCACUUUAAAGUGUGGGACAAUUUGUGGGGAAAUGGCAGGAGGAUUGUCUCUAGGCUCCCCCAGGAGCCAGGCUUGAAAAGCAAAGUCCUACAAACCCACUGCCUACUGCAGAGCAUUCUGGGCGUGGCUUGGUCCUGAGUGCCGUGUUUUGAAGCAGUGGUGUUUUGAGUUCCACUGUUUAUUUUUCUUAGGCUGACAAUCAGUGCCAAAGCAAGGAACAAACAAGAGUUGGAUGUGGUGAGAAGAAAGGUAAGCUUUGAACCGACCCAGACCAGCGUGAUGAACCCUCUGAGAUCUGAGCAAGGAUCUCCCUCACCUUGGGUUAGGGUUGAAACAACAAGGCUUACUGAGUCCUUUGUUUGAAGAUGAAAAUAUUACAGACACUUUCUAUUUUUACUUAUGUAUAAAAGUGUGCCAGCUUGUCUGUAUGGGAAUCAUGUUCAUGCAGGUGCCUGUGGAGGUCAGGGGGUCAGCAGAGGGUGCUGGAUCCCUCGGAGUGGGAGUUAACGGUGGCUAACACCCUCCUAGUGCUGGGAACCGAAUGGGGUCCUCUGCAAGCCAUCGAUCCUGCCCUAAGAACACAUUUAUACUGUCCCUGGCCUCAUAAAAGACACCUCACAGCCACGUGGAGCCACACUUCCAUUGGUAGGCCUGGUGAGUCUCGGCUUACUCUCCACGUCAUCAAGGAACCCAUCGAAAUAGGCAUUCAAGAUCUUCAUCUGAAAGGUAGUAAACAUGUAUUUCUGUUGUCACUGGGGGUUCAGAUAGUCAUAGUGGGAGGGGAUGAUGAUUUACCCCCACAGGGGAUGAUUUACUUGGGAUUGUUCCUGAGCUUGCUGGGGUGGGGGAAGGGCAGGGAGAUCUAAGCCUUGGUCAGGAAUCCUGAGCUGAGAGAGCAUAUGCUGACAGGCGAGGAGCUGUUCCAGAUAAGGUGAGGGGCAGUGGAAAUGAACUUAAUGGCUUCAUUCAGGACACGGAGGCUGAGGCACAACACACACGAGAAGCUCUCACAGAGGAGUCUUUCAGUUUUUCUCUUGGUUGAAGCUCGUGGGAACCCACAGUUCCACAAGGCUGCAGCUUUACAUAAAAGUUUCAGUGAUGGGUAAUUUAAGCUUUGUUUUCCACGGAGAGUUCCACUUACAAGGGCUUUUAAAAGGGUGCUGGAAGGAAAACAUCCCGCUGCUUGUUUUGACUGAGCUCUAAUGGCUAUGAACAUUUUCAGUACUGAUGCCCCAGCGUUACACAGGGCUCAACUGAAAGAAAAAAAAAAUCCCCUCACAGCCCUCAACUCUCUCAUAAAACAUCGCAUAGAGAAGCAAGAUAUCGUUCAGUUGUAGCUGUGUGAGCAGCUGGCGUUAGUGCAGUGUGGGCUCCGUUUUGGGCUCUAAACAUUCUAGCCAGGGUCAUCCAGCAUUUCUGCUUGUGAUUACAUGGUUUCUUAUUUGCAUGAGAUUCCCAGAUCCUUCUGUCCCCACUAUAGCUGAGGUACAGUGUUGGGCUAUCACGAUUUUCUGUCACCUUGUUCCUAUCUACUGUAAGUUCAGGGUUCAAAGGGCAUGAACAGUGAGGGAAUCCCAGGGCGCUUUCCGUUGCGUUGGUUAAGGCUACAUGUUGCUUCUAUCUUUGUGUUGUUGUUGUUACUUUAUAUCAAGGCUGGUUCUGACUGGUUUCAUUUUAUUUUAACCAAGCAUCAGCCAAGCCAUCUGAUUGUUUCCAUCAAGAGAUGACCAAGUGGUUGACAGGCAGCCAUCUUAAAGUGUUCAUCCUCAUUUACUGUGUCUGAAAUGUCACCUCCCUGCCUAUUACACUUUGGAUCUUAGAUUGCUCCCAAAGGCCCAAGUGUUUAUGGCCCAUUCAUUGGUGUCAGUACAGGGACAUGGUGGAAUUUCAGUAGGCGGGGCCUAGUGGGAGGAAGUUAGAUCAUUGGUGGUGUGUCCCCGAAGAACAUACUAGAACCCAGACCUUUUCCUGUUUCUCUCUCUGCUUUUUAACUGCUAUGAAAUAGGUAGCUUUGUCCAUUGUUUCCACCAUGAUGUUCUGCUUCACCACAGGUCCAAAGCAAUGAAGCCAACCAAAUAUGGUUGAAAACCUCAGGGCCAAGUCUCUCUUCCUUAUGAUCUGAUUAGCUCAGUGUGUGUGUUACUGUUCUAUUGCUGUGAAGAUUUACCACGAUGAAAGAAACUCUUAUAAAGAAAGCAUUUAAUUGAGGGCUUGCUUAUAGUUUUAGAGGACUAGUCUAUGGUCACUAUGGUGGGAAACAGACAGACAGGCAUGGCACUGGAGCUAAGAGUGGGGCUUUUAGAUCAUCAAAGUAUAUUCCCAGUGGUGACACAUCUCCUCCAAUAAGGACACACCUCUUCCAACAAGGCCACACCUCUUCUAACAGGCCACACCUCCUCCAAGACCACAUCUCCUCUAACAGGCUACACCUCCUCUUAUAGGCCACACUUCCUUCAAAAAGGCCACACCCCCUAAUCCUUCUAAUCCUUCUCAGACAGUUUCACUCCCUGAUGACAGAGCAUUCAAAUGGGAGCCAAUAUCAUUCAAACCAUCACACUCUGAUAUUUUGUCAUAGUAACAGAAAGCUGACAUGUUACUCCACCUCAUUCCUAUCUUCUCCAUAGGCCUCUGUUCCCCUUUUAGUGACAAUCACUGAUCUACAGGGUUCUUGUUAACCUUGUCUACUGCCUAUUAUUCCUACAGGCAGCCACCUCAGGAAAGGACCUGGCGUCUGUUUUUACCGCUGUGCCCUGCCUAGCUCAGUGCUUGGAACAAAACAGUGUUCAUCAUUUGUGGAGGAGUGAAUUUUAGUGUGAGGUCAUGGUGUACUUGUAGAGGUCAGAUGUUAAUUUGUGGGAGUCGGUUCCCUCUACUAUGUGGGUCCUAGGACUUGAGCUUAGGUCUUCAGGUCUGGUAGUAACUUCCUAUACCCCAAGCCAUGUCACUGGCUCUGUGAACAUUCUACCACAUAAAAAUACUCAGUAAUUUAUACAGGGAUUAAGGAAGUUAAUACAAGUUAAACAUUUAACACAGGAAGAGACAGGUGUCCUGUGUGUAUUGUACAGCUCCUCUAGUGAUGUAGACAGAAUGUGGUGUGUUUUAAGUUCAUUUUCUCUAACAAAAAGGAGUGGCUCAUGCUCUUAGGGGAUGGUGUUGGAUCAGAUGCGUGCACUGAUGGGGUACACCCAGUCACAGGGUCCUCGGAGGGAUGGUUCUUGACUCUCUCCCUCACCAACAUCCAAGCAUGUUCAAGUCUAUUACAUGAGACACAAUGGCAUUUGCAAAUAAUUCAUGAACAUCCUCACGAUGCUUUAUAUCACCCAAGUUACUUUCAAUAUUGAAUAUAGUAUAAAUAAUUGUCAUCCUACACAAAGGGAGCUGAGGAAAACAUUCUGACAUACAGAAUGAGGUAGCUGGAAGUGACAAGUUCCAGAGGACAGGGGCCCAGUCAAAUCUCAUCUGUCAAUAUCUCGAAAAUAAUAAGAAAGAAGUCUGUAUGCAAUACAGAUGUAAGUUUUCUACAAGUAUCCUUAAUCUGUGGUUGACUGAAUCCCCUGGUGAGAAACUUGUGGAUGGUUAUAGAAAGAAUGCAGACUAUAUUUAGCAAAUGUUUUCUCCCUAAGAAACCUUUAUGUCUUCACUUUUGAGGAUAGAGGGCUCGAAAACGUUUGUUUGCUUGUUUGUUUAUUUAUUUAUUUUUAACAAUCAGGCAAGCCACAUCAAGUUUAAUCUGAUUUCUUUGGGUACAAAUCUCUCUUAGCUCUUGGCUCUUCAGAUGUCCCAGAGUUCUACUUAAGCGUAUCAGAAUAGAGAUUAUGUCUUGUAGCACAACUGGGGAAGGACCAGGAAGAAUCUAUUUAUGGUGGGGAAGGUCCAGAGUCACUGAGCCACUCAGUCAUGUGUGAGUGUGAAGGACACAGGUGCCAACCUGGGCUGCUGAGUAAGGUUUCCAAGUGAGCAUGGGGACAGGGAGUCAAUGUUGUUUCCUAUAAGGAUUUCAGAAAUGUCCCCCUUCCCUCCGGGAGCCUGAGUAAAAUGUAACUAAAACUGUUCCUAUCGUGGAGUCUGUAGGCCAGCAGCCCUCAUCUUAGACCCAGCCAAGGCUCCCUGGGGAUGCUGGAGGGGACAAUAAACACACUUCUGUGGCACAGCAGCAGAGCUCUCCAACUUUCUUGAGCUCGCUUGCUUUCAAACCGAAGUGACUGUCCAUGUCCAGCGAGGUCAAACACAUUAUCGACCCGCAUAUCUUGAUUCCGUGUGUGCUUGGUUGAGUGAUCUGAAUGAAAGCUUAAGCUAAAUUCUUGGAGUUUUAUUUCGCUCAAGGGCAAAAUUUACAAUUAAGCCAUCUCUAACAAACAUCUGUUUCUUUUAGGCAGCGGCAUGUGUGGGAUUGGACAGUUGCUUUGAAACCUAAUCCACACACCGUCUCUAUAGUAUUCAUUUUACUGUCAUCUGUCACGAAUUAUGUCAUAAUUUCCCCACUCGCCUUCUUCACAGCUGAUCAGCGGCUCCACACAAAGGGAGCCGAGAAAAAUUCUGACAAACAGAAUGAGCUAGCUGGAAGUGACUCUAUUAACCUCCGUGACAACUUCCAGAGGACAGGGACCCAGUCAAAUCUCAUCCGUCAAUAGCUCGUUCAGGGAGCAAACACACAUGCACACACGCUACUGUUACACACAUGCUACUGUGUCAAACAGCUGGCUACUCCAGAGCGCUUUGUUUACAGAGUCCUUACUGGGUUAACGGAGUCACAAGGUCACUCAUUCCUGGAUACAGUCAGCCUUGACUCCUCCUUAAAGGGGCUUCGUAGGGAGGAAUUUUUGGAAGCAAUGAUUCACUCACCGCAUAUAACUGACUCGAGAGGUGAAUUAUUAAAAACGAUUAUGGGCCUUCUGAUCAGUCACCUGCAAUUCUAGCAGCAGCCGCAAGGAGACUAACCUGUUUAUAUGUCUGAUAGCUCUCCCUGUUUUAAACUGAAGAGUAACGUAGCAUUCAGCUGUUGAACAAGACAUAGGAUACUGACAGGUGGGAUUAACUAGAUGCCAGUCUGAGGGAGGCACAGGAUGGGAGAAGGAAACAAAACAUAGGAUCCACCUCCUAAUAGGUCUGCGGGCAGCAGCUACUAGCACCAUCACUGGGUGCAUAGGCAAGCUCAGGGCCACAGGGUCCCAGAGAGUGCCUCACAGCUACUGUGCUAUAGCCUGAGGCCGAUGCAGGGAACGGCAUGUGGAUGAUGACAGCUGGAAGUCUCAUCCUUAAACGUGGAAAAGCUGCACGUGGCAAUCAGAGAUGACCUCAGAUUCUUUGCCACACUUCUUUCUUAUUGAAAGAACUUCAAUAUUUAAAAUUUUUAUUAAUUUUUACUUAUAUGAGUAGAGUAUAGCUGUUUUGAGAUGCACCAGAAGAGGACACCAGAUCCCAUUACAGAUGGUUGUGAGCCACCAUGUGGUUGCUGGGAUUUGAACUCAGGACCUCUGGAAAGAGCAGUCAGUGCUCUUAACCGCUGAGCCAUCUCUCCAGCUCCGAGAACUUCAAUAUUUAAAAUGUCUCUUUGGGGCGGCAAGAGUCCAUGCGCACAUGAGUACGUGCAUGCCUGCGUGCGUGCGUGCCUGGGUGCAUGUCUGUUCAUGUAAGCUUUUUACAUGGGUGCUGGAGAUCUGAACUCGAGUCACAGACAUGGAGAAAGACAUGGACAAUGUAGGAAUGGGUGCUAUCACACAUUAAGGUGAAUAAUUUAGGACAGACCCAGGAAGCUAAUUUUCUUGAGGGAGGGGACAAUUAUGCUGGUUCCUACUGGCCUCCCAACAUGGUCUUUUCUUUUCUUUUCUUUUCUUUUCUUUUUUUUUUUUCCUUUUUUUCUGAGCUGGGGACCAAACCCACAGCCUUGCGGUUGCUAGGCAAGCGCUCUACCACUGAGCUAAAUCCCCAACCCCCAACAUGGUCUUUUCUAUUCAUUAACUCACUAGGUUCUGGGACAUCUGGACUACUAUAGAGGAGGAGAGGUAACUGCUGAGAUAGGUUGGGGAGGACCUCCAGAAGAGUCAAGGACUGCUGGGCAUGGCGUGGGCUACUCAGGACUGCCUGCUGCCUCUCUGGCCACUAGCAGGUGACAGAGAAGAUCAAGUGGGAGGCUGAGAAAGAAACUCACUUCCAGCUUUUGAACACCAUGCUACUUUCCACAGCCCACUGGUCUGAACACUACCGUCAGAACAGCCUGCUACUGAGUCACAGAGAACAGGAGACAGCAGGCACAUGUGUCAGUGAGCUUGGUGUCCAGCUGGUCCAAACGGGCUGGUUGGGAACACUGCACAGGCAUUUUCUCCUGCACUGUUUGAUCCAUAGAGGCUGUUGCUGAGGUUUUCCUCUUUUGGCUCCUGAGAGGGUACCAAAUUUAUGGCAGAUGAACUCUAGUUCUCAAAGAAACAGAAGCAUGGCUUGACAUCACCCAUAAUAUCUUUCUAUAUCUUGGGAAGCUAUAGCUUCUCAUUGGAAUGGUUCUACGCGUCAGUUACCACAAGCCCUGAAGGUGUGAGAGGUACAAUGACCCUAGACCCGGGCUUGGAGGAUGUGCUGGUUUUGGAAGAAAUCCCUGACUCUACUUCUUAUGUGUUCCAUUUUCAAAACGCAGACUGCAGAGGAGAGCUGACCACUGUGUGAGCUUUCUGGAUGCCCAGAUUCUGUUGGGGGUUGGGGGGAAUUUUCCUGUAAUUAAACUGUAAGAACUAAUUGUAAUUAAAUUGCACUGUCUGUGAGAAAUCUGUCACUUCUCAGAAUUGGCUGUGAGGACGAAGCUCCAGUGUGGGUGUAAUUAAGACCUGAGAUGUGGAGGUCUUCAGGGCCCUGUGCAGGUGGGAAUAGGUGGGCGUUGAUUUCCUGCAAUCUUGUCGGUCUCCCCCAUGC
Non-coding RNA from Rattus norvegicus (Norway rat), 21148 nucleotides. NCBI's taxonomy places the organism in Eukaryota, Metazoa, Chordata, Mammalia, Rodentia, Muridae. The record is from RefSeq and is a predicted model, not a curated record.